UCUACCCCGUAGGAUAAACUCCUCAUUCUCUAACUGAAAUUUUCAUCAACUUUUUCUUCUGCGGUUUCUUCUCUCACCACUCCGAGAAAUUACUCACAAGUCCGUCCCCUCCCUGCUUUCUCCAAAUUGGAAGCACCCACGCCACCCACUGGGCGCCCCAGCCCCCGCCUAGGCGGCGGAGCUCCGGGAGGCUGCAAGUUCCGGAGCGAGCGAGCGCCUGCAGCUGCACCUUGGCCAAGAGGCGGCGCGGGGAGCAGCGGGCGCCGUAGUCGACGACAACUGCAUCAUUCUAUACGAGGACGCUUCAAAAGCUUCGUGGAAAAGUAAAGUUAAAAGUGUUUUCGUUGCAAAAACCACAAAGCUCAGAAAUCCAUGCAUUUUUACAACACGAAUUUUCCAUGAACUUUUUGGAGACUGCGUGUAUGUUCACACCAAUAACUCGACCCCGCUCCUGCACAACCCACAUCCCUUCAGUUAGGAAAUCGCGUUUCCUCCUUGGUUAGUUGCAGACUUCGAGGGGCACAAUCCCUCUCGGUUUGGGUCUCUGCAUUUUGGCGAGCGAUUCUGCUGCUAGAGGUGUGAGAUAGGUUCAACUCGGACCUACAGCUCGCUCAGUUCUUGGCAUCUGGGCCCCGUGGUCGCGGCAUCAGGGCUGGGGCGCGCGCUGCACUUGGCUGUGGCUCUGCAGGUGCGCGGACCACAGGCCGGGAUUUGUGGCCCCUCCCGGCGCGCGCAGCGCUCGAGGCUCCCCUGGGUCCCCCGCGCCCUCAGGAACGUCCGGGGCCAGUGGGAGCGCGGGGGACGCCCGGGCAGGGAGCGACCAGUAAGGGAAGGGCAACCGUCCUCCGGCGCCGCGGCCACGAGGAGGCAGGUCCUGCUCCCCGGGGGCUGAGCAGCGCUUGACCUUGCUGGGCUGGAGCUUUCCCCGUGCUUUCUAGGAAGCCCAAGGGGGCAACUGGUAAUUAAAAAAAUAAAAAGAAUCGGAUGCUUAAACAUCCACCUGCGGCUCUGGCAUCACAGAGGUUCACAACAAAGUUCACAGCCAAGAGUAGGAAUAACCCAAUUGUCCAUCCGUGGUGCUAUGUUCACAUCCGGAAUAACACCAUCAAUAGCACCAACAGAAGACAAGGCAUGACAUGGAGGCACCUCAAAAACUAGAAUAAAAUGAAAGCCUCGGAAAAGUAUUUAACUCAAGAUCUAGUCAUCUUUUAAAUGAUUCCCAGAACAAGUAAGGAAGUAAUAUAUUCUGAGAAGGUCCUGCUGAGCUGAAAAUGACAUCGUAGAGCUUUCCAGACACCUAAUCACGCUUAAUCAUUUCCUCUUACUGCCCUCACUAUUUCAAACAGAGAAUGGUGCCAAACAGAAAUAAUAUCCCAACUACCAGAAACGGAAGGACGUGAAACCAGACAUGAAGCGGUGGCUGGGAGCCUGCAACAGGAAAACACAAAGAGAGGAGCUACUAUUGGGAAGGGGUCUGGCCGCAUUCUGUUUGGAAGAGAAGGUUGGCCAAGCUCUGAUGUGCCCGCCCACCGGGGGAGGGGGGAGGGCCCCGGGUGGUCUCAGGGAGCCCGAGGGAGCUACAGGUGGGCCCAUGAGAACUUCACCUGCAGGGGCCAGCAGGGGACUUGCUCCCUGGUUUCAGAGAUGACUGCCAUCUAUAUUGUUUAAUGACUGAAACGAAUUUGGGUUAAAGAUUAACCCUUUGUUCUGGUGCUCACAGGCCCUUGGCACCAGUAAGAGACACCUGGGCAGGAGGUGAUGUGCAGCCCGCACAGUGGCGCUCCCAGCAGUAUACACUUUGAGUGCCUCAAACAAAGUCUGCAGCCCAGGGUGUCCAGGUCCCUGGAUCUGUGACAAUCCAUGGGAGGAACUCAGUCUGCUCUGGCAGAGAUGGCGGCUGAUGGCGAGGUGGGGCUGGAAGGAGCAGGGGAGAGUGUGAGUGAGAGCAGAGAGGGGAAACAGAGAAGUAUGGGGAAGGGGAACAGAAAAGAGAAGAAGCAAAAGAGAAAGACGAUGGCAAGGUAAGAAAUGGGGGCAGGAAGGAAAAUAAAAGACAGGAGAUGUACCGAAUUCUGUGAGAAGGGUGAAGUCCUGAAUCGAGCUGGGAAUGGACUGGUGGGCGUUCCCGGGGCGGAUUCCCCCUCCUGCCUGGGCCAUGGACUCCUCUCAGGCCCGCGGGAGAAGAUGGAGCCCUCCCCAGCGCCCGAGGCCCCCGGCGCGCCCACUCACCGAGCACCCCCAGCUCCAGCACGACGCUGCGCUUCCGCACCCCUCCGUCCUCCGUGGCCGCCUCACACCAGUACGAGCCCGAGUCCUCCCCUCCGGCACGUG
This is a non-coding RNA of Oryctolagus cuniculus (rabbit), 2331 nucleotides long. Lineage: Eukaryota; Metazoa; Chordata; Mammalia; Lagomorpha; Leporidae. The record is from RefSeq and is a predicted model, not a curated record.